This 497-nucleotide ribosomal RNA is filed under the name uncultured bacterium. RNAcentral's name for it is "partial 16S ribosomal RNA". It matches the Rfam family "Bacterial small subunit ribosomal RNA", at positions 28 to 507 of the family's 1533-position model. The record is from RNAcentral.
GAUGAACGCUGGCGGCGUGCCUAAUACAUGCAAGUCGAGCGAACAGACGAGGAGCUUGCUCCUUUGACGUUAGCGGCGGACGGGUGAGCAACACGUGGGUAACCUACCUAUAAGACUGGGAUAACUUCGGGAAACCGGAGCUAAUACCGGAUAAUAUUUCGAACCGCAUGGUUCGAUAGUGAAAGAUGGCUUUGCUAUCACUUAUAGAUGGACCUGCGCCGUAUUAGCUAGUUGGUAAGGUAACGGCUUACCAAGGCAACGAUACGUAGCCGACCUGAGAGGGUGAUCGGCCACACUGGAACUGAGACACGGUCCAGACUCCUACGGGAGGCAGCAGUAGGGAAUCUUCCGCAAUGGGCGAAAGCCUGACGGAGCAACGCCGCGUGAGUGAUGAAGGUCUUCGGAUCGUAAAACUCUGUUAUUAGGGAAGAACAAACGUGUAAGUAACUGUGCACGUCUUGACGGUACCUAAUCAGAAAGCCACGGCUAACUACGUG